This 79-nucleotide transfer RNA is filed under the name Clostridiales bacterium. Its description in RNAcentral is "tRNA-Leu". It matches the Rfam family "tRNA". Rfam says of the family: Transfer RNA (tRNA) molecules are approximately 80 nucleotides in length. Their secondary structure includes four short double-helical elements and three loops (D, anti-codon, and T loops). The record is from RNAcentral. Lineage: Bacteria; Bacillati; Bacillota; Clostridia; Eubacteriales.
AGCUCUGUAGCAGAAUUUGGCAUAUGCGCCGGACUAAGGAUCCGGGCUUUUGCGGGUUCGAGUCCCGCCAGAGCUACCA